AUUGAACGCUGGCGGCAGGCUUAACACAUGCAAGUCGAGCGGAGAGAGGUAGCUUGCUACUGAUCUUAGCGGCGGACGGGUGAGUAAUGCUUAGGAAUCUGCCUAUUAGUGGGGGACAACAUUUCGAAAGGAAUGCUAAUAACGCAUACGUCCUACGGGAGAAAGCAGGGGAUCUUCGGACCUUGCGCUAAUAGAUGAGCCUAAGUCGGAUUAGCGAGUUGGUGGUGUAAAGGCCAACCAAGGCGACGAUCUGUAGCGGGUCUGAGGGGCUGAGCCGCCAAACUGGGACUGAGACACGGCCCAGACUCCUACGGGAGGCAGCAGUGGGGAAUAUUGGACAAUGGGCGCAAGCCUGAUCCAGCCAUGCCGCGUGUGUGAAGAAGGCCUUAUGGUUGUAAAGCACUUUAAGCGAGGAGGAGGCUACUUUAGUUAAUACCUAGAGAUAGUGGACGUUACUCGCAGAAUAAGCACCGGCUAACUCUGUGCCAGCCGCCGCGGUAA
This 501-nucleotide ribosomal RNA is filed under the name uncultured bacterium. RNAcentral describes it as "partial 16S ribosomal RNA". It matches the Rfam family "Bacterial small subunit ribosomal RNA", at positions 30 to 523 of the family's 1533-position model. The record is from RNAcentral.